Molecule: non-coding RNA, 1707 nt
Organism: Arachis ipaensis
Lineage: Eukaryota; Viridiplantae; Streptophyta; Magnoliopsida; Fabales; Fabaceae
Source: RefSeq, a predicted model, not a curated record
AUAUUAAGGUAAUCUUCUAAAUUAUACUUCUAGUAAUUGAUAUGACUUUUAAUAUUUUUUUACUUGAAAUUAAUUUAUCUUUUAGAUAAUAAUUGAAAUAUAUUUUUGAACGAUUUUCAAUUUUACUUAUGUUCCCGCUCCUCAUACGAGUGAAGUGCUCUCGAAUACAUUAAUGAAAGUUUUGUUAGGGUGGAACAUAGAUAGAAAAUUGUCAACUAUUACAUUGGAUAAUUGCUCUACUAAUGAUGCUAUGGUUGAUGAGUUGUUGGGGCGCUUAGAUUCAAAAUAUUUGUUGUUGGGGGUUUCCAUGUUGCAUAUGCGUUGUUGUGCUCAUAUCUUGAACCUAAUUGUGAAAGAUGGUAUAAAUUUGGUUAAGGAGAGUGUGAAAAAAAUUCGUGGCAGUGUGGUGUAUUGGACUUCAACCCCUAAAAGACACGAAACCUUUGUGAGUUGGUGUAGUAAGUCAAAUGUUCAAUUUACAAAAAAAUUAGCUCUUGAUUGUCCAACUAGAUGAAACUCCACUUAUAUGAUGUUAGAGACUGCAUGGUUGUAUUGAAAUGUGUUUCCUCGAUUAAGACAAAAGGAUCCUAAUUACAAAAGUUUGCCAAGCAAUGAGGAGUGGGACCUUGCUAAAGAAAUUUGUGGUAAAUUAAAGUUGUUUUAUGAUGUGACACAAUUAUUUUCGGGUACUCAAGUUCCAACAGCUAACAUUUAUUUUAACAAAGUAUGUGAUAUAAAUGUUGCCUUGAAAAAAUGGUCUGCAUCUCCAAAUCCACUGAUUAGUAAUAUGGCAUGUAGUAUGAGGGUAAAAUUUGAUAAGUAUUGGGAAGAAAUUCAUGGUAUGAUGGGUGUUGCUGUCGUUCUAGAUCUUAGGUAUAAGCUUGCUAGGCUUGAGUAUAAAUUCUCAAUGUUAUGUCAAAAUCAAGAUGAGUGCUUAAGUAAGAUUGAGAGGAUCAAACAGAUAUGCUAUGACUUGCUUCAUGAGUACCAACAGAAUCCGUCUAAUUCAAGUAAUGCAUUUGAGAAUUCUACACAAGAUCUAUAGAUGAAUGCAGAGCAAGAUGAUGAUGCUGCUUACCAGUUGUAUAUUAGACAAAAGAAGAGGAAAAAUGGUUCAUUUGUGAAGACUGAAUUUGAUCAUUACAUAGAGGAAGAUGUUCAUCCUUUGAGUGCUGACUUUGAUAUUUUAUCUUGGUGGAAAGUGAAUGGAGCUAGAUUUCCAAUACUUCAAAGAAUUGCGAGAGAUAUAUUUGCUAUCCCUGUAUCUACAGUUGUUUCUGAGUCUUCUUUUAGCACAAGUGGUCGAGUAAUUGCUCCUCAUCAUGGUAGUCUUCAUGAAGAUACUGUGGAAGCUCUUAUGUGUAAUCAAAACUGAUUGUGGGUAGCAUAUCGUCAAAGAGGUGAAAAACCUGAUUAUCAAACUGCAAAUGAUGAUGAAGAUGAUGAUGUUGUAUCUGAAGUAAUAGACUAGUGAUGGUGUUGUUGCAACAAAUGGAAUGCUCAUGGAGACAUGAAAUUAAAUAAUUUUAUUUAUGUUUAUGUUAUUUACUUAGACAAAGACUUUUAUGUAUAAUUUUAAUAUUUGAUGGUUAUGUUGUGUAUGAGAUACUUGUGUUAUUUGUAGGAUAAUUUGUGUUGUUUGAAUACUUGUGUUAUUUGAAUGCUCAUGGGAUAACUUGUGUUAUUUGAUGGUUAUGUUAUGUAUGA